CGCGGCCUAUCAGCUUGUUGGUGGGGUGAUGGCCUACCAAGGCGGUGACGGGUAGCCGGCCUGAGAGGGCGACCGGCCACACUGGGACUGGGACACGGCCCAGACUCCUACGGGAGGCAGCAGUGGGGAAUAUUGCGCAAUGGGCGGAAGCCUGACGCAGCGACGCCGCGUGGGGGAUGACGGCCUUCGGGUUGUAAACCUCUUUCGCCAGGGACGAAGAGCAAUUGACGGUACCUGGAGAAGAAGCACCGGCCAACUACGUGCCAGCAGCCGCGGUACACGUAGAGUGCGAGCGUUGUCCGGAAUUAUUGGGCGUAAAGAGCUCGUAGGCGGUUUGUCGCGUCUGCUGUGAAAUCCCGAGGCUCAACCUCGGGACUGCAGUGGGUACGGGCAAACUAGAGUGUGGUAGGGGAAACUGGAAUUCCUGGUGUAGCGGUGGAAUGCGCAGAUAUCAGGAGGAACACCGAUGGCGAAGGCAGGUUUCUGGGCCACAACUGACGCUGAGGAACGAAAGCAUGGGGAGCGAACAGGAUUAGAUACCCUGGUAGUCCAUGCCGUAAACGUUGGGCACUAGAUGUGGGGGACAUUCCACGUUUUCCGCGCCGUAGCUAACGCAUUAAGUGCCCCGCCUGGGGAGUACGG
RNAcentral lists this ribosomal RNA (642 nucleotides) under uncultured Actinomycetes bacterium. RNAcentral's name for it is "bacterial SSU rRNA". It matches the Rfam family "Bacterial small subunit ribosomal RNA", at positions 232 to 885 of the family's 1533-position model. The record is from RNAcentral. Lineage: Bacteria; Bacillati; Actinomycetota; Actinomycetes.